AGUGAACGCUGGCGGUAGGCCUAACACAUGCAAGUCGAACGGCAGCACAGUAAGAGCUUGCUCUUACGGGUGGCGAGUGGCGGACGGGUGAGGCAUACAUCGGAAUCUACUUUUUCGUGGGGGAUAACGUAGGGAAACUUACGCUAAUACCGCAUACGACCUACGGGUGAAAGCAGGGGAUCUUCGGACCUUGCGCGAUUGAAUGAGCCGAUGUCGGAUUAGCUAGUUGGCGGGGUAAAGGCCCACCAAGGCGACGAUCCGUAGCUGGUCUGAGAGGAUGAUCAGCCACACUGGAACUGAGACACGGUCCAGACUCCUACGGGAGGCAGCAGUGGGGAAUAUUGGACAAUGGGCGCAAGCCUGAUCCAGCCAUACCGCGUGGGUGAAGAAGGUCUUCGGGUUGUAAAGCCCUGUUGUUGGGAAAGAAAAGCAGCAGGUUAAUACCCCGCUGUUCUGACGGUACCCAAAGAUUAAGCACCGGCUAACUUCGUG
Molecule: ribosomal RNA, 492 nt
Filed under: uncultured bacterium
Lineage: Bacteria
Description: partial 16S ribosomal RNA
Rfam family: Bacterial small subunit ribosomal RNA
Source: RNAcentral